UAUUUUCCUUGUGUGCCAGCAGCCGCGGUAAAACGUAGGUCACAAGCGUUGUCCGGAAUUACUGGGUGUAAAGGGAGCGCAGGCGGGAAGAUAAGUUGGAAGUGAAAUCCAUGGGCUCAACCCAUGAACUGCUUUCAAAACUGUUUUUCUUGAGUAGUGCAGAGGUAGGCGGAAUUCCCGGUGUAGCGGUGGAAUGCGUAGAUAUCGGGAGGAACACCAGUGGCGAAGGCGGCCUACUGGGCACCAACUGACGCUGAGGCUCGAAAGUGUGGGUAGCAAACAGG
This 284-nucleotide ribosomal RNA is filed under the name Faecalibacterium prausnitzii. RNAcentral's name for it is "partial 16S ribosomal RNA". It matches the Rfam family "Bacterial small subunit ribosomal RNA", at positions 494 to 776 of the family's 1533-position model. The record is from RNAcentral. Lineage: Bacteria; Bacillati; Bacillota; Clostridia; Eubacteriales; Oscillospiraceae.